UCCCCCGGACGACCGGGAUUCGACUUUAAUUAACGCGGGACGACCUGC
RNAcentral lists this non-coding RNA (48 nucleotides) under Alteromonadaceae bacterium Bs31. RNAcentral's name for it is "Guanidine-II riboswitch aptamer (mini-ykkC)". It matches the Rfam family "Guanidine-II riboswitch aptamer (mini-ykkC)". From Rfam's summary of the family: Simpler in structure and has fewer highly conserved nucleotide positions than the ykkC-yxkD leader. Despite this each of its two stem-loop structures directly bind free guanidine. Therefore, mini-ykkC RNA motif represents a distinct class of guanidine-sensing RNAs. RNAcentral also lists the same sequence under 1 other name. Lineage: Bacteria; Pseudomonadati; Pseudomonadota; Gammaproteobacteria; Alteromonadales; Alteromonadaceae. The record is from Rfam by way of RNAcentral.